UAGGGAAUCUUCCACAAUGGACGCAAGUCUGAUGGAGCAACGCCGCGUGAGUGAAGAAGGGUUUCGGCUCGUAAAGCUCUGUUGUUAAAGAAGAACGUGGGUAAGAGUAACUGUUUACCCAGUGACGGUAUUUAACCAGAAAGCCACGGCUAACUACGCGCCAG
This 164-nucleotide ribosomal RNA is filed under the name uncultured bacterium. Its description in RNAcentral is "partial 16S ribosomal RNA". It matches the Rfam family "Bacterial small subunit ribosomal RNA", at positions 355 to 511 of the family's 1533-position model. The record is from RNAcentral.